RNAcentral lists this transfer RNA (72 nucleotides) under Eutreptiella gymnastica. RNAcentral describes it as "tRNA-Met". It matches the Rfam family "tRNA". Rfam says of the family: Transfer RNA (tRNA) molecules are approximately 80 nucleotides in length. Lineage: Eukaryota; Euglenozoa; Euglenophyceae; Eutreptiales; Eutreptiaceae. The record is from RNAcentral.
GGCUCUGUAGCUCAGUGGUAGAGCAGGGGAUUCAUAAGCCCUUUGUCACAGGUUCAAAUCCCGUCAGAGCCA